AGUGAACGCUGGCGGUAGGCCUAACACAUGCCAGUCGAACGGCAGCACAGUAAGAGCUUGCUCUUACGGGUGGCGAGUGGCGGACGGGUGAGGAAUACAUCGGAAUCUACUUUUUCGUGGGGGGGAACGUAGGGAAACUUACGCUAAUACCGCAUACGACCUACGUGUGAAAGCAGGGGAUCUUCGGACCUUGCGCGAUUGAAUGAGCCGAUGUCGGAUUAGCUAGUUGGCGGGGUAAAGGCCCACCAAGGCGACGAUCCGUAGCUGGUCUGAGAGGAUGAUCAGCCACACUGGAACUGAGACACGGUCCAGACUCCUACGGGAGGCAGCAGUGGGGAAUAUUGGACAAUGGGCGCAAGCCUGAUCCAGCCAUACCGCGUGGGUGAAGAAGGCCUUCGGGUUGUAAAGCCCUUUUGUUGGGAAAGAAAAGCAGCAGGUUAAUACCCCGCUGUUCUGACGGUACCCAAAGAAUAAGCACCGGCUAACUUCGUG
RNAcentral lists this ribosomal RNA (492 nucleotides) under uncultured bacterium. RNAcentral's name for it is "partial 16S ribosomal RNA". It matches the Rfam family "Bacterial small subunit ribosomal RNA", at positions 29 to 507 of the family's 1533-position model. The record is from RNAcentral.